RNAcentral lists this ribosomal RNA (497 nucleotides) under uncultured bacterium. Its description in RNAcentral is "partial 16S ribosomal RNA". It matches the Rfam family "Bacterial small subunit ribosomal RNA", at positions 28 to 507 of the family's 1533-position model. The record is from RNAcentral.
GAUGAACGCUGGCGGCGUGCCUAAUACAUGCAAGUCGAGCGAACAGACGAGUAGCUUUCUCCUCUGACGUUAGCGGCUGACGGGUGAGUAACACGUGGAUAACCUACCUAUAAGACUGGGGUAACUUCGGGGAACCGGAGCGAAUACCGGAGAAUAUAUUGAACCGCAUGGUUCAAUAGUGACAGACGGUUUUGCUGUCACUUAUAGAUGGAUCCGCGCCGCAUUAGCUAGUUGGUAAGGUAACAGCUUACCCAGGCAACGAUGCGUAGCCGACCUGAGAGGGUGAUCGGCUACACGAGCACUGAGACACGGUGCAGACACCGACGGGAGGACGCAGUAGGGAAUCCUCCGCAAUGGGGGAAUGGCGAACAGAGCACAGUCGCGGGAGUGAUGAUGGAGCUCGGCUGGGAGAACGAAGUUGUAAGGCAAGAUGAAAUGUGUAAUCAACAAGGAACAUAUUGACGGUACCUGAUCAGAAAGCCACGGCUAACUACGUG